UUUUGGCUAAUGGUUGCUCGCCUAGCAAUUGAGCUUGGUUGGUGGUUGUUAGUUGGGUGGUCUCGGGGAUGUCUUCCGUAAAGGUGCAUGAGUGGUGUUUGGUUUGUUACGGGUGGUUGGCUCUUUGCUCGCGCACGAACUUCCACCUGGCAUACCUCUUCAUGUUUGUGUCAAUGCUUGUAUCGCAUUGAACUCAUUGUGGGUUUCUUGUAUCGAAUGCCUAACUGAUGGUAUCGUUUGAUCGAUUGCUGAAUGUUUUCGUCUUGCGUUGCUCUUGUGACGCGAGAUGAACCAAAAGGUAGCCUUUGUGGUCCACUCUUUCGAUGCACGUGCACUGACUUUGUGGCUCACAAGGUGCUGCUUGGUCUCAUCGAUAUGGAACCUUGUGUGGGCGCGAGAUCUUUUGUUAGUUCUUUGUUUGCCCUAGUAAGCUUCACAAAUACGAUUUCCUAUCAUGUUUUAACGUGGUAGGCUAUAUCGAAUAUGAAUG
RNAcentral lists this unclassified non-coding RNA (490 nucleotides) under Gnephosis angianthoides. Its description in RNAcentral is "partial external transcribed spacer". Lineage: Eukaryota; Viridiplantae; Streptophyta; Magnoliopsida; Asterales; Asteraceae. The record is from RNAcentral.